AUGAGCUCCAGCUCUCCCUGGCCCUCAAGGUGGCCGACAAGGUGCUGGAGGGGGCGGCUUCUGGAGACCAUCAGUCAGCUCUACCUGUCUCUGGGCACUGAGCGGGCCUACAGAUCCACUCUGGACUACACCAAAGUAGUCUGGGGAUUUUCAUUCACCUCCAAAAGAAAGAGGAGACGCAUGCCUGGCUGCAAGCAGGGAAGAUCUACUACGUCCUGCGGCAGAGCGAGAUGGUGGACCUGUACAUCCAGGUGGCACAGAAUGUGGUCCUGUACACAGGCGACCCCAACCUGGGGCUGGAGCUGUUUGAGGCAGCUGGAGACAUCUUCUUCAAUGGGGCCUGGGAGCGGGAGAACGCCGUGUCCUUCUACCAGGGGACCGGCUGAACGAGCGCGUGGCCUACUACCGGCUGGCCGCCCUGCACCACCGGCUGGGCCAUGGCAAGCUGGCGGAGCACUUCUACCUCAAGGCCCUGUAGCUCUGCAACUCGCCGCUGGAGUUCGACGAGGAGACCCUCUACUCCGUGAAGGUGUACCUGGUGCUAGGUGACAUCAUCUUCUACGACCUGAAGGAGGCUCUGGACCCAGGGCCCGGAGCAGUGGGAGAAAAAGCCGGUCUAGAUGGGGCCUGGAAGGCUGGCAAAGAAGCAGAGGUAAAUGGGCAUCUUUUCCAAUUGCCUCUAAAAUGGGGUCCCCUUUAGUCUACACGUGAGAGUGAGGAUUGGUGUGUCCAAUCUCACUGGAAUAGGGUGGAUUAGGUGUGUCCUGGCUCAGCCUUCCACUGAGUAGCUGCUGC
This 795-nucleotide long non-coding RNA is filed under the name Rhinopithecus roxellana (golden snub-nosed monkey). Its description in RNAcentral is "lncRNA (ENSRROG00000045839.1)". The record is from RNAcentral. Lineage: Eukaryota; Metazoa; Chordata; Mammalia; Primates; Cercopithecidae.